This 532-nucleotide unclassified non-coding RNA is filed under the name Bombus terrestris (buff-tailed bumblebee). Its description in RNAcentral is "misc RNA ENSBTSG00005031590.1". Lineage: Eukaryota; Metazoa; Arthropoda; Insecta; Hymenoptera; Apidae. The record is from RNAcentral.
UGAAAACACUACCAGAAUCAAUGAUUUAUAUUGAUGACUUAAUCGACUCAUUGAAAGGAAGUGAUUGAACUUGUGAUUUUUUAAAAAAUAAAAUUAUAAUGUGGGAAAUGCGUAGGGAGGGUAAAAGUGAUAGGAAAUGGUCAAAUGUUUUCAAAGUUGAGAAAAGAGAGAAAUAAAGUGCCAUGGCUGUGGAAAGUACGGCCACGUGAUAAGAAAUUGCACGAAUACAUGCAGAGGCGGAAUCAAUGGAGGAGCGCAAUGGCAAGGAGGUGCGUAUCAGCCAUAGCAGAAUAGGGGUCGCGGCGGACGAGGUUGUGGCCACAGAAGACGAGGAUAUGUUCAGCGUGGAUUUGGUCAACGAGGACGAAGCAGAGGUUGGCAGCAACGCUACAAUGGGGCAAGUCGACAAGACGCAAAUUAUUUAAACAGCGAGGACUACGACGACCAAGGAAUUGACUCCUUCCUAACGCGAGUGCAGCCCGAUAAUAGUAAGGAUACUAUCACAGUAUAUACCAGCGAUACGCGAAAAAUA